AUUGAACGCUGGCGGCAGGCCUAACACAUGCAAGUCGAACGAGUGGCGGACGGGUGAGUAAUGUCUGGGAAACUGCCUGAUGGAGGGGGCUAACUACUGGAACCGGUAGCUAAUACCGCAUACCAUCGGAUGUGCCCAGAUCGGAUUAGCUGGUAGGUGAGGUAACGGCUCACCUAGCCGACGAUCCCUAGCUGGUCUGAGAGGAUGACCAGCCACACUGGAACUGAGACACGGGCCAGAGUCCUACGGGAGGCAGAAGUGGGGAAUAUUGCACAAUGGGCGCAAGCCUGAUGCAGCCAUGCCGCGUGUAUGAAGAAGGCCUUCGGGUUGUAAAGUACUUUCAGCGGGGAGGCGUUACCCGCAGAAGAAGCACCGGCUAACUCCGUGACAGCCGCCGCGGUAAUUC
Molecule: ribosomal RNA, 406 nt
Filed under: uncultured bacterium
Lineage: Bacteria
Description: partial 16S ribosomal RNA
Rfam family: Bacterial small subunit ribosomal RNA
Source: RNAcentral